This 377-nucleotide ribosomal RNA is filed under the name uncultured eukaryote. Its description in RNAcentral is "partial 18S ribosomal RNA". It matches the Rfam family "Eukaryotic small subunit ribosomal RNA", at positions 592 to 975 of the family's 1831-position model. The record is from RNAcentral.
CAAUAGCGUAUAUUUAAGUUGUUGCAGUUAAAAAGCUCGUAGUUGGAUUUCGGGUGGGACGCAGCGGUCUCGCAUUGCGUUUGUACUGCUGCAGCCCUCCUUCUUGCCGGGGGCGGCCUCUCGGGCUUCACUGUCUGGGGGUCAGAAUCGGCGAUGUUACUUUGAGUAAAUUAGAGUGUUCAAAGCAAGCUUACGCUCUGAAUAUAAUAGCAUGGGAUAACACGACAGGACUCUGGCCUAUCGUGUUGGUCUAUAGGACCAGAGUAAUGAUUAAGAGGGACAGUCGGGGGCAUUCGUAUUCCGUUGUCAGAGGUGAAAUUCUUGGAUUUACGGAAGACGAACAUCUGCGAAAGCAUUUGCCAAGGAUGUUUUCAUUG